GGUGAUAUUCAUCUAACUAGUCUCUGUCUGACAGGUGAUAUUCCUCUAACUAGUCUCUGUCUGACAGGUGAUAUUCCUCUAACUAGUCUCUGUCUGACAGGUGAUAUUCAUCUAACUAGUCUCUGUCUGACAGGUGAUAUUCCUCUCCUCUAACUAGUCUCUGUCUGACAGGUGAUAUUCCUCUCCUCUAACUAGUCUCUGUCUGACAG
This is a long non-coding RNA of Salvelinus fontinalis (brook trout), 209 nucleotides long. RefSeq lists it as uncharacterized. The transcript is spliced from 3 exons. Lineage: Eukaryota; Metazoa; Chordata; Actinopteri; Salmoniformes; Salmonidae. The record is from RefSeq and is a predicted model, not a curated record.